ACGUGUGUGUAUAUGUAUACAUUCAAUAUAUAUUGUAUAGUCAGUGUACAAAGUAACACUUUUAGACUCUAAACUCCACGUUUUGAGAAUGCAUUUGUAAAUGGAUUGGAAAGUUCAGGUGGCUUUGUACAGAACGCUUUUGUGAGACAACAGUGACCGACAGGGAGAGAGCCACUUACUUCCCAUUUAUUUCUUCUUUAUCACCCCUGUAAAGUAAUCAAGUACUCGAUGAUGAGGAAGUCUCUUUUAAAACAUUGGUUGCCACAAAAUUAGACUUUCUUAUGGUUUCUCUUGGAAGAGACAGGUGGGAAAAUCACGUGUGGAGCGUAAGCAGAGAUGUCAGAUCCAAGUGUGUCCUGCUUUCGUGGACGUCCGUGGACUGUUCACGCGUUACCAUGAAGUUCUAUUAUACAUAUUUUAAAUUGUUUAUAGUAAGUUGAUAUUUUUUUAAUUUUUAAAUUUAAUAUAGCAAACUUAAAAUGAAUUUAAACUUAUGAAACAAGUGUUUAUUUUCUUUGUGUCUGCUCUUUGAAGUAAUUCGCACAGCUGCAGAUCUCUGUAUAUCUACCUAUAUUUUUUUUAUUACUUGAGAGGAAGAACUUUAACAGGUCAGUGCCAGUGUCAGUGCCCUUGGAUUGCACGAUAGCUCCCCUGAGUCUGACUGGGGAGAGGGACUGAGGGAGGCAGGGUGAGCCCUGUGCACGGAGCACCAGACAGAGCGCCUGCGCCAUGCCUGCCGUCUCCUCCACUAGAGUAGAUGCGAAAGUACCCAGGGGAAAAAACUCACAACCCAAACGUCAACAUAAAUCUUAGUAUGCUAUGUGAAAACUUACAGAGGGGAAUUACUGACAACUGACUCUUCCAAAUUUUACCCAAAAUAUUGGGUAUGAAACAAAUUGCACUAUAAAAUAUGUAUCUGAAAUAUGGUUUAAUGGGGUAUUCUGUUAAUACUAUAUAUAGAGAGAUUCAAAGUAUUUUUGGAAGCAGAAAAAUAGUAACCGUCUAAAAGUGCAUCCAGAGAGAAUUUCCCAUAUUGAGGAACUUAGUUUUUUCAGUAAGCUUCAGGAUCUGAAGUUCAUGGAAUCUCAAAUGUAAACUAUACAUGAUCAGACAAUAAACUCAAUGUUUAAACACCAGGAGUAUUAAAUUGACUUAAAAUACAUUUUUAAUUAUAUUAUUUCUAAAACCACUUUUUUUGAAUAAUUUCUCAUAAAAAAAGGCAUCCUUUGGCCUCUGGAAUUAAUUAUUCAUGUAUUUUCAGUGUAUGUAUAUACAUUUGCAAGGGUUGUCAUUUGUAAAGGAAGGCUAGCCAUUUUAAAACGAAGAAAAAAGGGGUGGUCCCAAACCUGAUGUUUAAAGCAAGUGGAGUCCAUGAUGCUUGACCUGGAAAUAAAAUAACUUAAGCGCCCCAAGACUCAGCAGUUCAGCCGCAGAAAAGCUGCCUUUCAGUCCCUGCCACCACUGAGUAGCCAGGCUGAAGCAUUUUUUUUCACAGCUUUUGCCCUCUGGCAAGUUGUGGGGAGAGCAUAAAAUGUGAAUCUUGAGUUCAGUUGGUUUGAGGCUGAACUUACUUACUUGAAAACACUGGUGCUAUGCGCGCAUACCUACGGCUCCUGUCGAUCCACUUGGCCUCGCGGCCUCACUGCUUCACAUUCUCCAAGUCACUGAGAAGUACAUCCAGUCUCUUCAGAGACUGAGAAUGUUCCAAAGGAGGUGUUUGGCACUGGUGGUAAACAUGCCCUCUAACAAGAUUUGGGCUCUCGUCCGUGCUUUCUUCUUUCUUCCCUCACGAGAGCAGUUUGCACUGCUGCCUCCAGUUUCUGUAAUGCAAACUGUGUGGUUUGUUGGAUUCAGAUGUCUGCCAAGCACAGAGAGGCAAAGCUGGCCCUCACACUCACUCGGAAAGCUGAGCAUGACUUCUGCCUCCCGCCCUUCCCUGAGUUUUGUUCUCUGUCUCUGAAUAAAGUUAUAUUUUUCCUGCUUUUAAUCCCCAGGAAUGUUACUGUAUGAAGAUAAUCUUUAAAAAUAAUACCUAAACAUGGACUAGAACUCAGUCAGUCCUGCUCCAAAGAAAACUAAAAUAAGGAUUGUCUUUUGAAACAAUUUAAUCCAAGCUGUUUUUCAGUUUUUUUAUUUACCAUACAUUUUGGAAUAUUAUGGCCAAUAAUGUUGGAAAGUGGUGUCCUUUCCCUCUACUCCUUAUUUUCCAUUCUUAGUGUUGCUUAUGUUUAAAUUGUUGGAAAUAAACCAUGCUCUUGUUAAUAUAGUUUAAGACUCUCAUUAGGUUUGAAUGUUCCUGUGUAUGUACAUAUACUUUAAAUAGUCAGCGUUCCCUCCUGUCACCAGAUGUCACAGUAUGUAGCUGUUCAUCUUCUGGUUUUGUUCUCUUUUCUGUUUUUUUCUAACCUUUAAACCCCCAACACUAUCAACUUAUCUUACUAUAAGGUUGUCUAGUAUGUCUUCCCAUUUUUGUACAUAGAGAAGUGACCCUGAAAAUGUUGGUUCAGCAUUUUAGGCAAUAAAUACUUAUUUUUACUUCAUGCUGAUAAUUAUUAUUUAUUGGUGCAACUAACAAGCAUUGUCUAUUCCUAUAUAUAACUUGCGUAGUGUUUUAACUUAUAGAAGGGAAAUGCUUCUUUUAAAAAUGGGCAGUAGUUCAGCCUUAUCUUAUUUCUUCCACCAUAGUUUACAAACUGCUUUUAGGCGCUUCAUGUCAGAAUGAGAAGGGAAGAGUGAGCAGGCUCGGAGGCUGCGACUCCUGUGUGCUUAGUGUGCUUGUCCCUUUUAGACCCAGCACAAAGCUUUCUGCGAACCCCAGCAGCUGCCUCCUUCAUAGACACCAACAUCCUGA
This 2851-nucleotide long non-coding RNA is filed under the name Rattus norvegicus (Norway rat). Its description in RNAcentral is "long non-coding RNA NONRATT027794". The record is from RNAcentral. Lineage: Eukaryota; Metazoa; Chordata; Mammalia; Rodentia; Muridae.